AACGCACAUUGCGCCCUUUGGUAUUCCGAAGGGCAUGCCUGUUCGAGCGUCAUUAUCACCCCUCAAGCCCCCGGCUUGGUGUUGGACGGUUUGGUGGCGGCGACGUUACCCCUCCCAAAGACAAUGACGGCGGCCUCGUUGGACCCCCGGUACACUGAGUUCCUCACCGAACACGUAUCGGAUCAAGGGUGCGCGGGGCACGGUCUGCCUCCCCUCAGGGAGAACUUUUCUCAAGGUUGACCUCGGAUCAGGUAGGGAUACCCGCUGAACUUAA
RNAcentral lists this unclassified non-coding RNA (274 nucleotides) under uncultured fungus. RNAcentral describes it as "partial contains 5.8S ribosomal RNA, internal transcribed spacer 2, and large subunit ribosomal RNA". The stretch from base 1 to 52 matches the Rfam family "5.8S ribosomal RNA", at positions 103 to 154 of the family's 154-position model. Lineage: Eukaryota; Fungi. The record is from RNAcentral.